CAAUAGCGUAUAUUAAAGUUGUUGCGGUUAAAAAGCUCGUAGUUGGAUUUCUGAGGGGAGCGACCGGUCGGCGCCCUAGUGGCGUGUGCACUGUUUUGUCUGCUUCCUUCAUCCUGGUCGAGAUGGUCGCUGUUCUUCAUUGAGUGGCGAUUGGAUCGGCCACAUUUACUGUGAAAAAUUAGAGUGUUUAAAGCAGGCGAUCGCUGUGAAUACAUUAGCAUGGAAUAAUAAGAUAGGACUUUGGUACUAUUUUGUUGGUUUGCGCACCAAGGUAAUGAUUAAUAGGGAUAGUUGGGGGUAUUCAUAUUCAAUUGUCAGAGGUGAAAUUCUUGGAUUUAUGGAAGAUGAACUUAUGCGAAAGCAUUUACCAAGGAUGUUUUCAUUAAUCAAGAACGAAAGUUAGGGGAUCGAAGAUGAUUAGAUACCAU
RNAcentral lists this ribosomal RNA (428 nucleotides) under uncultured eukaryote. RNAcentral's name for it is "SSU rRNA". It matches the Rfam family "Eukaryotic small subunit ribosomal RNA", at positions 592 to 1018 of the family's 1831-position model. The record is from RNAcentral.